AUCUUAUUGUUACAUUUUGGUUGUCUUUCAUCCCUCAGGUCUGUCCUUUCCAAAACCACCAAGGAUUCGAGAAAUGUCUAGCCAGGCAUUAGGAUCAGAAGAAAAUGAUUAUAAAUCCAGGUCCAGGAGUCCAUUCCAUGACUCUUUGGUCCAAAGUUCUCGCUCUCUACGCCAGUGGUCCCACACUCCCAGCCACAGCACUGUACGCCAACAGUCCCACACUUCGCACCACAGCACUUCACGCGAGAGGUCCCACACUCUGCGCCACACGACUUCACACCACCGGUCCCACACUCCGCACCACAGCACUUCACGCGAGAGGUCCCACACGCCACACCACACAACUUCAUGCCACCGGCCCCAAUCUCCGACUCACAGCACCCCACACCAGUGGUCCCGCACUCCACGCCACAGCUCUUCACGCCCAUGGGACAGCUCUCCACACCAGCGCUCCAGCUCUUCUUAUGAGUGCUCCCAAAGACCAGCUAGGGGGAACCAGCACAGAGAGGGUGGAGAGCUAUUCCCAUUAGAUAGUGGAAACUUCCAAAGGCGGGUCCUUUAUCUUCUUUCUGAUAUUCGGGCAAAGCUGUCAGAGGUGGGCCAAAACCGUGAGCCCCCAGAGUCUCAGUUCCACCUUGAGAAAAUGAACAGCAGGCGUGAGCUAAAAAAUCUGGAAGGGCAACUGGCCAUUGAAGAAAAGAGGAAUGUGAUGGUGUCUCGAUUAGUCAGGACUGGGGGUGCAGACCUUGAGGACUGUGUAAAAAAUAUGAUGAAAAGAGUUCUUACCAACAGAUUGAUGGCAACAAUGAACAUGGACGGCUCAGGAUGAAGAAGGCCUUUGGAAAAACACGGCUAUGCCGUGUUAUAAUAGGUGUUGUACAGCAGUCGAAACCUUCUGCGUCAGAGGCCGAAAUAAAGAAAUACAUGGGCAGCUAUCUCCGGUCUGC
Molecule: long non-coding RNA, 947 nt
Organism: Cyprinus carpio (common carp)
Lineage: Eukaryota; Metazoa; Chordata; Actinopteri; Cypriniformes; Cyprinidae
Source: Ensembl